This 172-nucleotide non-coding RNA is filed under the name Durinskia baltica. Lineage: Eukaryota; Dinophyceae; Peridiniales; Kryptoperidiniaceae. The record is from RNAcentral.
CGAGUGCGAGGGUUGCCGGAUAUUCGUCGGGCCGACCGAGAGCAGCAUCUUCUUGCGCAACUGCAAGUCGUGCGACGUGAUGGUCGCUUGCCAGCAGUUCCGCUCUCGGGAUUGCCAGGAUUGCCGGGUCGCACUGUUCUGCACGACCGAGCCGAUCAUCGAGACCAGCACG